RNAcentral lists this ribosomal RNA (253 nucleotides) under uncultured bacterium. RNAcentral describes it as "partial 16S ribosomal RNA". It matches the Rfam family "Bacterial small subunit ribosomal RNA", at positions 524 to 776 of the family's 1533-position model. The record is from RNAcentral.
UACGGGGGGGGCAAGCGUUGUUCGGAAUUACUGGGCGUAAAGGGUGCGUAGGCGGCUCUCUUAGUCGGAUGUGAAAUCCCUCGGCUCAACCGAGGAACUGCGUCCGAUACUGGCGGGCUCGAAUCCGGGAGAGGGAUGUGGAAUUCCAGGUGUAGCGGUGAAAUGCGUAGAUAUCAGGAGGAACACCUGCGGUGUAGACGGCUUACUGGACCAUCACUGACGCUGAGGCACGAAAGCGUGGGUAGCAAACAGG